UGCGGGGUCGUCUAAUGGUAGGACAGGUCCCCUUGGAGGAUCUGAUCUUGGUUCGAGUCCAAGCCCCGCAGCAA
Molecule: transfer RNA, 74 nt
Filed under: Candidatus Nealsoniibacteriota bacterium
Lineage: Bacteria; Candidatus Nealsoniibacteriota
Description: Candidatus Nealsonbacteria bacterium tRNA-Gln
Rfam family: tRNA
About the family: Transfer RNA (tRNA) molecules are approximately 80 nucleotides in length. Their secondary structure includes four short double-helical elements and three loops (D, anti-codon, and T loops).
Source: RNAcentral